This 69-nucleotide transfer RNA is filed under the name Rattus norvegicus (Norway rat). It matches the Rfam family "tRNA". Rfam says of the family: Transfer RNA (tRNA) molecules are approximately 80 nucleotides in length. Their secondary structure includes four short double-helical elements and three loops (D, anti-codon, and T loops). Lineage: Eukaryota; Metazoa; Chordata; Mammalia; Rodentia; Muridae. The record is from Rfam by way of RNAcentral.
GGGGAUUUAGCUCAGUGGUAGAGCGCUUGCCUAGCAAGCACAAGGCCCUGGGUUCAGUCCCUAGCUCCA